UGGGGAAUUUUGGACAAUGGGGGAAACCCUGAUCCAGCCAUCCCGCGUGUGCGAUGAAGGCCUUCGGGUUGUAAAGCACUUUUGGCAGGAAAGAAACGUCAUGGGUUAAUACCCCGUGCAACUGACGGUACCUGCAGAAUAAGCACCGGCUAACUACGUGCCAGCAGCCGCGGUAAUACGUAGGGUGCAAGCGUUAAUCGGAAUUACUGGGCGUAAAGCGUGCGCAGGCGGUUCGGAAAGAAAGAUGUGAAAUCCCAGAGCUCAACUUUGGAACUGCAUUUUUAACUACCGGGCUAGAGUGUGUCAGAGGGAGGUGGAAUUCCGCGUGUAGCAGUGAAAUGCGUAGAUAUGCGGAGGAACACCGAUGGCGAAGGCAGCCUCCUGGGAUAACACUGACGCUCAUGCACGAAGGCGUGGGGAGCAAACAGG
Molecule: ribosomal RNA, 429 nt
Filed under: Acidobacteriota bacterium
Lineage: Bacteria; Pseudomonadati; Acidobacteriota
Description: Acidobacteria bacterium partial 16S ribosomal RNA
Rfam family: Bacterial small subunit ribosomal RNA
Source: RNAcentral